UCCUUUGCCCAGUGGCAGUAUCCUAGCCAAUGAGGUUUAUCCGAGACGCGAUUAUUGCUAAUUCAAAUCCUUUGCCCAUUUUUCAACUGGGUUUUCUUUUUCUUGUUCAGUUUUAAGAGUUAUAUGUAUAU
Vulpes vulpes (red fox) is the source of this 131-nucleotide small nuclear RNA. Its record names the gene U4. It matches the Rfam family "U4 spliceosomal RNA". Rfam says of the family: U4 small nuclear RNA (U4 snRNA) is a component of the major U2-dependent spliceosome. Lineage: Eukaryota; Metazoa; Chordata; Mammalia; Carnivora; Canidae. The record is from Ensembl.